This 483-nucleotide ribosomal RNA is filed under the name unidentified eubacterium S1C26. Its description in RNAcentral is "bacterial SSU rRNA". It matches the Rfam family "Bacterial small subunit ribosomal RNA", at positions 498 to 982 of the family's 1533-position model. The record is from RNAcentral.
UAACUACGUGCCAGCAGCCGCGGUAAUACGUAGGUGGCGAACGUUAUCCGGAAUCACUGGGCGUAAAGGGUCCGCAGGUGGUCUUAAAGGUCUGGCGUGAAAUCAUCUGGCUCAACUAGAUGCCGCCGUCCGAAACCGUAAGACUAGAUUCACACAGAGGUCGGUGGAAUUCCAGGUGUAGCGGUGGAAUGCGUAGAUAUCUGGAGGAACCCCAAAAGCGAAGGCAGCCGACUGGGUGAUGAAUGACACUGAGGGACGAAAGCGUAGGUAGCGAACAGGAUUAGAUACCCUGGUAGUCUACGCCGUAAACGAUGUGUGCUCGGUGUGUGUUUGUAAAAGGAUGCGCGCCCAANUAACGCGUUAAGCACACCGCCUGGGGAGUACGGCCGCAAGGCUAAAACUCAAAGGAAUUGACGGGGGCCCGCACAAGCAGCGGAGCGUGUGGUUUAAUUCGAUGCAACGCGAAGAACCUUACCUGGGUUU